RNAcentral lists this long non-coding RNA (76 nucleotides) under Dasypus novemcinctus (nine-banded armadillo). Its description in RNAcentral is "lncRNA (ENSDNOG00000052033.1)". The record is from RNAcentral. Lineage: Eukaryota; Metazoa; Chordata; Mammalia; Cingulata; Dasypodidae.
CAGAAAAGUUCAGAAGGACUGGGCUAGUUUUCUAAACCACAGCACACUUUGUCAGAGGGAAUGCACAACAGAAUGG